RNAcentral lists this ribosomal RNA (486 nucleotides) under uncultured bacterium. Its description in RNAcentral is "bacterial SSU rRNA". It matches the Rfam family "Bacterial small subunit ribosomal RNA", at positions 28 to 507 of the family's 1533-position model. The record is from RNAcentral.
GAUGAACGCUAGCGGCAGGCUUAAUACAUGCAAGUCGUGGGGCAGCAUGAAGUAGCAAUACUUUGAUGGCGACCGGCAAACGGGUGCGGAACACGUACACAACCUUCCUUUAAGUGGGGAAUAGCCCAGAGAAAUUUGGAUUAAUACCCCGUAACAUAGCGAUGUGGCAUCACAUUGCUAUUAUAGCUUCGGCGCUUAAUGAUGGGUGUGCGUAUGAUUAGAUAGUUGGCGAGGUAACGGCUCACCAAGUCUACGAUCAUUAGCUGAUGUGAGAGCAUGAUCAGCCACACGGGCACUGAGACACGGGCCCGACUCCUACGGGAGGCAGCAGUAAGGAAUAUUGGUCAAUGGACGCAAGUCUGAACCAGCCAUGCCGCGUGAAGGAUUAAGGUCCUCUGGAUUGUAAACUUCUUUUAUAUGGGACGAAAACAGAUCUGUCUAGAUCCUUUGACGGUACCAUAUGAAUAAGCACCGGCUAACUCCGUG